GAAAGUAAGCAAGGGCAGACGGUGGAUGCCUUGGCUCUCGGAGGCGAUGAAGGACGUGAUAAGCUGCGAAAAGCCCGGGGGAGAUGCAAAUAAUCCUUGAUCCCGGGAUUUCCGAAUGGGGCAACCCGGCAGGCAGGAGGCCUGCCACCAUGCAAAUGGGGCGAACGCGGGGAACUGAAACAUCUAAGUACCCGCAGGAGAAGAAAACAAAAGUGAUUCCGCAAGUAGUGGCGAGCGAACGCGGAACAGCCCAAACCGGUGCCGUUUCGGCGGCGUCGGGGUUGUAGGACCACGCCGUGGCAAGACGGCAGGACAGCGGAAGGCGUUGGAAAACGCCGCCAAAGACGGUGAAAGCCCGGUACGCGCCAUCCUGCCCAAGCCUAGUGGCAUCCUGAGUAACGCGGAGCACGAGGAAUUCUGCGCGAAGCAGCGGGGCCCAUCCCGCAAGGCUAAAUACUCCCGGGAGACCGAUAGCGAACCAGUACCGUGAGGGAAAGGUGAAAAGAACCCCGAACAGGGGAGUGAAACAGACCCUGAACCCGUCUGCCUACAAGCGGUCGGAGCACCAAUUUGGUGUGACGGCGUGCCUUUUGCAUAAUGAACCUACGAGUUACUUCCAGUGGCGAGGUUAAGGCGUUCAGCGCCGCAGCCGAAGCGAAAGCGAGUCUGAAAAGGGCGUCGAGUCACUGUGAGUAGACGCGAAACCAAGUGAUCUACCCUUGGCCAGGAUGAAGGUUGGGUAACACCAACUGGAGGUCCGUAUGGUUAUACGUUGAAAAGUGUUCCAAUGAGCUGAGGGUAGGGGUGAAAGGCUAAUCAAACUUGGAGAUAGCUCGUACUCCCCGAAAUGCAUUUAGGUGCAGCCUGCCGGCAGUAUUGCACGAGGUAGAGCGACUGAUUGGAUGCGAGGGCUUCACCGCCUAUCAAGUCCAGACAAACUCCGAAUGCGUGCAAUACAUUCCGGUGGAGUGAGGGCGCGGGUGCUAAGGUCCGCGUCCGAGAGGAGAAGAAUCCAGACCACCUGCUAAGGCCCCGAAAUGGUGCCUGAGUUGAGAAAACGAAGUCGGACUGCAAUGACAGCUAGGAUGUUGGCUUGGAAGCAGCCAUUCAUUUAAAGAGUGCGUAACAGCUCACUAGUCGAGGAGUCCGGCAUGGAUAAUAAUCGGGCAUAAGGCAUCUGCCGAAGCAGUGGAUCACGCAAGUGAUGGUAGGGGAGCAUUCCAUGUGCGUGGAAGGUCGGGGACGACCCCGGCUGGAGCGCAUGGAAAAGCAAAUGUAGGUAUAAGUAACGAUAAAGGAAGCGAGAAACUUCCUCGCCGAAAGACUGAGGUUUCCUGAUCAACGCUAAUCGGAUCAGGGUAAGUCGGGACCUAAGGAUAAGCCGAACGGCGAAGCCGAUGGAAGAAACGGUCAACAUUCCGUUACUACUGUAUUGGGUGAAGCGGGGACGGAGAAGUGAAAGCCCUGCCGGCUGACGGAAUAGCCGGUUGAAGGGUGUAGGUGCAGAUGGCCGCAGGCAAAUCCGCGGCUUGAGCCGAACCUGAUAGUAUGCCAAGCGCUUGCGCGAGGCAAGAUGGGCGUAAUCCGGCUCCCUAGAAAAUCCGCUAAACAUAACCAUUACAGUACCCGUACCGCAAACGGACACACGUAGUUGGGUUGAAAAUACUGAGGCGCUCGAGUGAUUCACGGUUAAGGAACUAGGCAAAAUGGUCCUGUAACUUCGGGAUAAAGGACGCCAAUCCAAAGAUUGGCCGCAGAGAAUAGGCCCAGGCGACUGUUUAACAAAAACACAUGGCUAUGCUAAAUAGUGAACAUGAAGUAUAUAGCCUGACACCUGCCCGGUGCCGGAAGGUUAAGAGGAGAUGUCACCGCAAGGGAAGCAUUGAAUUGAAGCCCCGGUAAACGGCGGCCGUAACUAUAACGGUCCUAAGGUAGCGAAAUUCCUUGUCGGGUAAGUUCCGACCUGCACGAAUGGUGUAACGAUCUGGGCACUGUCUCAACCGUGAGCUCGGUGAAAUUGUAGUAUCGGUGAAGAUGCCGAUUACCCGCGAUGGGACGAAAAGACCCCGUGAACCUUUACUAUAGCUUUACAUUGCGUUUGGGCAACCGAUGUGUAGGAUAGGCCGCGGCUUAUAUCGCCGGCAGUGGCCGAGCAGGCCAUUAUGUAGAGAUAAUCGGGCUCGGGCUCGGGUAUGGAUUCGGCGCAGGUGGUCAGACACAGCGCGGCGAAUAUCACCAGUAUCAAAGAAAUGAGCCGUUUCACAGUUUCCACCUCCUUUGGCACAAGUAUAGCCUCAGUGGAGCGAGAAAAUUGUCAAACCGGGGUGGGAAAUGGCCCGAAAUUAAGAAGCUGAUCCCGAGAAGUAUUGACAAAGAGCAAAAGGAAAUUUAUAGUUUGCAGGAACGGCGGCAGCAUCACCGGUGAUGUUUGCGCGUACAAUGCGGGAAGCGUGGAUUCAAGAGAAAAAAUAUGCGGCAGGUUAUAUAAUAUUUGGUCUUGUGAAUGGCGUAAAAAGAUGUAUAAUAUAAAUCUCUCCACUUUCAUGCGGAAUCGCGUAAGUAGGGAGACCUGCGCAUAUAAUUACCCGUGCUGGAUCGAAUAGAAUGAAAAA
Molecule: ribosomal RNA, 2612 nt
Filed under: human gut metagenome
Description: bacterial LSU rRNA
Rfam family: Bacterial large subunit ribosomal RNA
Source: RNAcentral